CAGCCGCCGCGGUAAUACGUAGGUGGCAAGCGUUGUCCGGAAUUAUUGGGCGUAAAGGGCUCGCAGGCGGUUUCUUAAGUCUGAUGUGAAAGCCCCCGGCUCAACCGGGGAGGGUCAUUGGAAACUGGGAAACUUGAGUGCAGAAGAGGAGAGUGGAAUUCCACGUGUAACGGUGAAAUGCGUAGAGAUGUGGAGGAACACCAGUGGCGAAGGCGACUCUCUGGUCUGUAACUGACGCUGAGGAGCGAAAGCGUGGGGAGCGAACAGGAUUAGAUACCCCAGUAGUCCCUGUCUCUUAUAC
This 301-nucleotide ribosomal RNA is filed under the name uncultured bacterium. RNAcentral describes it as "partial 16S ribosomal RNA". It matches the Rfam family "Bacterial small subunit ribosomal RNA", at positions 509 to 807 of the family's 1533-position model. The record is from RNAcentral.